This 200-nucleotide unclassified non-coding RNA is filed under the name Russula sp. RNAcentral describes it as "partial internal transcribed spacer 2". Lineage: Eukaryota; Fungi; Basidiomycota; Agaricomycetes; Russulales; Russulaceae. The record is from RNAcentral.
UUAAGUUCAGCGGGUAGUCUCACCCGAUUUGAGGUCAAGGUUUUCUUUUUGUGGGUCCAGCCUCCCGCCGAUAUAGACUGGCAGUGACCAGAGCACCAUUAUUGUCAACGAGACAGUUAGGAGCAGGCGUCCAAGGAACAGAGCUAAACCCAAAACGUAGAAACAUUUUAUCACAUCAAGGAUCAGCAAAGUGGACCCCA